RNAcentral lists this ribosomal RNA (305 nucleotides) under uncultured bacterium. RNAcentral's name for it is "partial 16S ribosomal RNA". It matches the Rfam family "Bacterial small subunit ribosomal RNA", at positions 508 to 809 of the family's 1533-position model. The record is from RNAcentral.
ACAGCAGCCGCCGCGGGAAUACGGAGGGGGCUAGCGUUGUUCGGAAUUACUGGGCGUAAAGCGCACGUAGGCGGCUUUGUAAGUCAGAGGUGAAAGCCCGGGGCUCAACCCCGGAAUUGCCUUUGAGACUGCAUCGCUUGAAUCCAGGAGAGGUGAGUGGAAUUCCGAGUGUAUAGGUGAAAUUCGUAGAUAUUCGGAAGAACACCAGUGGCGAAGGCGGCUCACUGGACUGGUAUUGACGCUGAGGUGCGAAAGCGUGGGGAGCAAACAGGAUUAGAUACCCGAGUAGUCCCUGUCUCUUAUAA